Molecule: ribosomal RNA, 199 nt
Filed under: uncultured bacterium
Lineage: Bacteria
Description: partial 16S ribosomal RNA
Rfam family: Bacterial small subunit ribosomal RNA
Source: RNAcentral
ACGCUCGACACCUACGGGAGGAGCAGUGGGGAAUAUUGCACAAUGGGGGAAACCCUGAUGCAGCGACGCCGCGUGAGCGAAGAAGUAUCUCGGUAUGUAAAGCUCUAUCAGCAGGGAAGAAGAUGACGGUACCUGACUAAGAAGCACCGGCUAAAUACGUGCUAGCAGCCGCGGUAAUCUGAGGCGGGCUGGACAAGGC